UACGUAGGGUGCAAGCGUUGUCCGGAAUUAUUGGGCGUAAAGAGCUCGUAGGUGGCCUGUCGCGUCGGCUGUGAAAACUCGGGGCUCAACUCCGAGCUUGCAGUCGAUACUGGCAGGCUAGAGUGCGGCAGGGGAGACUGGAAUUCCUGGUGUAGCGGUGAAAUGCGCAGAUAUCAGGAGGAACACCGGUGGCGAAGGCGGGUCUCUGGGCCGAUACUGACACUGAGGAGCGAAAGCGUGGGGAGCGAACAGG
Molecule: ribosomal RNA, 253 nt
Filed under: uncultured bacterium
Lineage: Bacteria
Description: partial 16S ribosomal RNA
Rfam family: Bacterial small subunit ribosomal RNA
Source: RNAcentral